AAAAUGUAUGAAUGUAAGUUGCUCUGGAUAAAAGCAUCUGCUAAAUGUAAAAAA
Salmo salar (Atlantic salmon) is the source of this 54-nucleotide non-coding RNA. NCBI's taxonomy places the organism in Eukaryota, Metazoa, Chordata, Actinopteri, Salmoniformes, Salmonidae. The record is from Rfam.